GCUCAAUUGGUAUAGUGGUUAGUGCCGCUGACUGCCGUUCCGAAGGGCCUGGGUUCGAAUCCCGGAGAAGGCA
Molecule: transfer RNA, 73 nt
Filed under: Stegodyphus mimosarum
Lineage: Eukaryota; Metazoa; Arthropoda; Arachnida; Araneae; Eresidae
Rfam family: tRNA
About the family: Transfer RNA (tRNA) molecules are approximately 80 nucleotides in length. Their secondary structure includes four short double-helical elements and three loops (D, anti-codon, and T loops).
Source: Rfam by way of RNAcentral